RNAcentral lists this unclassified non-coding RNA (905 nucleotides) under Hevea brasiliensis (rubber tree). The record is from RNAcentral. Lineage: Eukaryota; Viridiplantae; Streptophyta; Magnoliopsida; Malpighiales; Euphorbiaceae.
UGGCCACUUUUUCCCGGCAAACCUGCAGCAUAACAAAGCAUGCACUUUAUGACAAAACUAAAAAUGAAAUUGAUAGUAUCUCCUAGAUCUUUGAAGAAAUUCUAUGACCAGAAUGGACACAAACAAGGUAUAUUGGCAAAUAUGGAGACAUGUGUUAAAGAAAUAAAUUAAAUAUUCCAAGAAAGAAAACCUUGUAUUACGAAAAGAACAAAAAUCGAUCCACAUUAAUGCAGCAUGUAUACUGGCAAACAUUCCAUGUUUACAAUUUUACACACUAUGCAUUUAGAAAUCUGACUUCCAACAAUAAUCUGUGAACAUCUAUGGACUAAGAAGAAAGAAAUAUCAUUUUGGCAUACAUUUCCAAUUUCCAAUGAUCAUUCAUGAAAAUACAUAGGUAAUUUUACAUGGACUUAACUUAGCAUUGCAACUAUGCAGUGAUCUCACUUUGUUCCAUCAUCUAUUACAAUGCGUUAAGAGUGAAUCAAUGCAAUAAUCAAAUCCCAUCCUGACAAGGUAAUAACUAAUUGCAAGGAUGAUGCGAGGUUAGAGAGGGGGAAAACAUAGUAAACCUUAGAAAACAACCCCCUGACUUUUGAUUUGAGUAAAAAAAUAAAAUAAAAUAAACCCUCAGGAUUUGGGAAGCUAAAAGAAAGAGAGCACACAAAGUUCUUAAAUGAUCAAGUCCUUUCAGCAGUUUUCUAGAUAGGAAAGAACUGAAAGGACUGAUUAAUGUAGUUCUAAACAGGAUCAAACUACAAUUUUGUAGUACAAUACGCAAAUUUUUAUUCUUUUUCUUCUUACAGUUACUGAAAAUGGCCUACCAUCGUAUCACACAAUUUAAGAAAAUACUCUCCUUAAUGCCACAUAAAUUUAUUUAUAGGCAAAACAAACAUGAAUAAACUUCA